This is a long non-coding RNA of Vicia villosa (hairy vetch), 414 nucleotides long. RefSeq lists it as uncharacterized. The transcript is spliced from 3 exons. NCBI's taxonomy places the organism in Eukaryota, Viridiplantae, Streptophyta, Magnoliopsida, Fabales, Fabaceae. The record is from RefSeq and is a predicted model, not a curated record.
GCUAGAUCCAUAGAAUUGUGUUGGUGUGCACCGGCGCCGUUGCUGCAAGUGUGUCUCUGUCGCCGUGUUGUUGUGAGUGUGCCCAUGGUCGAAUCCGGUUGUUAUCCUUCAGAUUCUAUUGUGGUAAUCUUCGUUUGUUCUCUUUCGCCUCAUUUUCGAUAGUGUUCGGCGUUGCUGCGUUCUUACUUCUUUGGUGUGUUCAGGCAGGUACUCAAGAUUAGUCAUGGAGGUCCGAGGUUAUUUAUGUGAAGUCUUUACGUUGCUUUAUGGAAAGUCAGGUUGGUGUCCAUUGCUCUGAUACGUAGCACUCGGGGGGAUUAGUCGUUAUUUUAUGAUUAUUGUAUUCCAUGAUGACAUUUGUGUUAAGAUGAAUUGAAAGGUGUUUAUAAGUUUAAGUUGUAAGGAGUGAAUGAA